This 465-nucleotide ribosomal RNA is filed under the name uncultured bacterium. Its description in RNAcentral is "partial 16S ribosomal RNA". It matches the Rfam family "Bacterial small subunit ribosomal RNA", at positions 28 to 507 of the family's 1533-position model. The record is from RNAcentral.
GACGAACGCUGGCGGCGUGCUUAACACAUGCAAGUCGAACGGAAAGGCCCUGCUUGCAGGGUACUCGAGUGGCGAACGGGCGAGUAACACGUGGGUGAUCUGCCCUGCACUUCGGGAUAAGCCUGGGAAACUGGGUCUAAUACCGGAUAGGAGCCAUUUUUAGUGUGAUGGUUGGAAAGUUUUUUCGGUGUAGGAUGAGCUCGCGGCCUAUCAGCUUGUUGGUGGGGUAAUGGCCUACCAAGGCGGCGACGGGUAGCCGGCCUGUGAGGGUGGACGGCCACAUUGGGACUGAGAGACGGCCCAGACUCCUACGGGAGGCAGCAGUGGGGAAUAUUGCACAAGGGGCGCAAGCCGGAUGCAGCGGCGCCGCGGGGGGGAUGACGGCCUUCGGGUUAUAGACUCCUUUCGCUAGGGACGAAGCUUUUUGUGACGGUACCUAGAUAAGAAGCACCGGCUAACUACGUG